RNAcentral lists this unclassified non-coding RNA (1530 nucleotides) under Hevea brasiliensis (rubber tree). Lineage: Eukaryota; Viridiplantae; Streptophyta; Magnoliopsida; Malpighiales; Euphorbiaceae. The record is from RNAcentral.
AAAACUGAAGGCAAGGGCCUGCCUCUAUCCUCACCACCACCGCCGACAAGAAACAGACCUCCCUCGUACCAUUUAAUUCAAACAUUUUCGUUAAUUUGAAAUUUGGGUUCUUGAGGAAGUUGUUAGGAUUCUCUCAAUAUAUGGCUUCUACUGUGAGAGAAGUAGUUGAUCGGAUCAAAGGUCCAUGGAGUCCUGAAGAAGACGAGGCGUUACAAAGGCUGGUGCAAAGCUAUGGCCCCAGAAACUGGUCCUUGAUAAGCAAAUCGAUUCCUGGGCGAUCUGGAAAGUCGUGCCGGUUGCGAUGGUGCAACCAGCUUUCCCCUGAGGUCGAACACAGACCUUUUUCACCUGAAGAAGACGAAACCAUUACCCGGGCCCAUGCUCGUUUCGGCAACAAGUGGGCUACCAUCGCUCGCCUCCUCAAUGGCCGCACAGAUAACGCCAUAAAAAACCAUUGGAACUCCACUCUCAAGCGAAAAUGCUCCUCCUUCUCUGACGACUUAAGCGACGAUGCACCUGCCCAACAGCCUCUCAAAAGAUCCGCCAGCGUAGGUGCGGGUGCGGUUUCGGGUCUUCAAUUGAACCCGGGCAGUCCUUCCGGAUCCGAUAUCAGCGAUUCCAGCUUGCCCGGUAUGGCUUCUUCUCCAGUUUACAGGCCUCUGGCGAGAACGGGUUCCCUUGGCCAGCCGGGUCUUUCAAUCGAUGCUGCCUCUUCUACUACGGAUCCGCCGACUUAUUUAAGCCUCUCUCUUCCUGGAUCCGAUUCUUGCGAAGCCUCAAAUCAAGUAUCUGUUUCCGGGUCAGGAUCCGGAUUGAAUCAGGGAGGAAACGCGACACAUGUUGUACAAACUCGGGUGGUGCCGCCAACUGCUGUGCCGGUGCAGCAAGCUGUAGAUGUACAACAGAACGGAGUUAGGUUUGAGAAGCAGUUUUUCAGUCCUCAGUUUUUGGCAAUGAUGCAGGAGAUGAUAAGGGAGGAAGUGGGAAGAUACAUGUCUGGUAUUUAGCAUAAUGGGCUGGGAUUGCAAACUGAGGCCAUAAGGAACGCCGUGGUUAAGCGUAUUGGGAUUUAGCAUAAACGAGUAGACAGAGUAGUGUCUGUUGAUAUUAAGGUAAUUGAGCCGUCAUUUAAAAAAAAAAAAAAGAAAGGACCGAGCUGAGUCGACUCAGCAAGAAUCCGAGAGAGAGAUAAGAGAAGUGGACGGGAAAUGGUCUUUGUUUAAUUAAGUUGCUUUAAUCGUUCAUCGUUGAUUUAUACAGAAACAAUAAUUUUGGUAGUGUACAGAGGAACAAAUGGGUAUUUUAAAGGGUUGGAUGGAGAAGACGAUCUCUGAUAAACUUAAAAAAAAAAUCUCUCGAUUUUUAUAUAUGUUCAUUCUCGUUUUUCUUUUUCUUUUAAUUUUAACACCAGAUGUUUAAGGGGGGGAAAAAAAGAGAGAGUAAUGAAGUAGCGUUGCCUCAUUCAAUGGGUAAUUUCUAUAGUUUUACCUCAUUUGUGUUCAAUUUAAAAAAACAAUAAAAUUGCUCCCG